This 518-nucleotide ribosomal RNA is filed under the name Terribacillus saccharophilus. RNAcentral's name for it is "bacterial LSU rRNA". It matches the Rfam family "Bacterial large subunit ribosomal RNA", at positions 79 to 594 of the family's 2925-position model. The record is from RNAcentral. Lineage: Bacteria; Bacillati; Bacillota; Bacilli; Caryophanales; Bacillaceae.
CGGGGAGCUGUAAGUAAGCUUUGAUCCGAAGAUUUCCGAAUGGGGGAACCCGCUAUCCGUUAUUGGAUAGUACGUAUUACUGAAUACAUAGGUAAUACGAGGCAGACCCGGGGAACUGAAACAUCUCAUUACCCGGAGGAAGAGAAAGCAAAUGCGAUUUCCUGAGUAGCGGCGAGCGAAACGGAAUUAGCCCAAACCAGAAGGCUUGCCUUCUGGGGUUGUAGGACACUCCUUUGGAGUUACAAAGAAACCAUAUAGACGAAGCGGCUUGGAAUGGCCCGCCAUAGAAGGUAAGAGCCCUGUACUUGAAAUGUGGUUUCCUCCGGAGUGUAUCCUGAGUACGGCGGAACACGUGAAAUUCCGUCGGAAUCCGGGAGGACCAUCUCCCAAGGCUAAAUACUCCCUAGUGACCGAUAGUGAACCAGUACCGUGAGGGAAAGGUGAAAAGCACCCCGGAAGGGGAGUGAAAUAGAUCCUGAAACCGUGUGCCUACAAGUAGUCGAAGCCCGUUAAUGGGU